Alosa alosa (allis shad) is the source of this 888-nucleotide long non-coding RNA. RefSeq lists it as uncharacterized. The transcript is spliced from 4 exons. NCBI's taxonomy places the organism in Eukaryota, Metazoa, Chordata, Actinopteri, Clupeiformes, Clupeidae. The record is from RefSeq and is a predicted model, not a curated record.
CUACCCCAUAACUGAAUAGUUAUUUUCUGUUGUCUAGGAGAGCAUUGAGAAUCCAGUCUAUGCCACGGACACCAGCAUAGUUUCAGAGCUGACAGUGUCUUCCAGUGCUUCUCCCAUACAUGCCAAUGGCAAUGCCAUACAUGCCAACGGCAAAGCAGCCCCUGUCAAGACUGUGUCUGUUGAGCCUGCCUUUGAGAACCCAGCUUACUCUGCAGAGCAGGAGCAAACACCAGAGAUCAGCAGUGGGGUCCAGGAUGGACAGAAGGAGAAAGAGGAUGAGGAGGAGGAGAAGCUGGUUGUUGCCCAGUCUGAAGAGGACUCUGACGCAGCGUUCUCUAACCCCAUGUACACAGACCCAGUACAACUUCCCAACCCGGAGGAUUCCUCUAUUUAAAUGAAGCCAAUAGACCUCAUCUUUUGAAAACAACUCAAACAACAACUCAACACACAAGACAAACACACACACACACACACACACAGAUGCCAAGACAGAGAGUUGCAACCUCUAUUGUGCUUAAGUUCACACCUCAUUCAUAACUUAAUGUGCUUAAGUUCACACCUCAGACUAGUUUGUUAUUGCUUCCUCUAUUAGCAUUGUGAAAUCCUCUUUGUAGAGACACAUCUCACACUGUAUCAGUACCGCGUGGGGUAUGUAGAGACUCAGGAAGCAGACGUAGACAAAUCAACAGGCUGCCGACUCGCUGUUUGAAUGAAUGAGGUUUUAAGAGGAAUGAAAUCUUUUCUUAUGUGAUAACUGUAUAGAUUUUCAGUCAAAUUUACAUUAUUUAGGAUGAUUGUCUUGUGUAAUGUACAAUGGGAAAAUGCAUCAAAUAUAUAUUGUAAUAUUAUUGUAUUUAAGCAUAAAUAAAAGUUAAUUUUUUCAUGCAG